Molecule: ribosomal RNA, 1784 nt
Filed under: Dermacentor andersoni
Lineage: Eukaryota; Metazoa; Arthropoda; Arachnida; Ixodida; Ixodidae
Description: SSU rRNA
Rfam family: Eukaryotic small subunit ribosomal RNA
Source: RNAcentral
GUAGUCAUAUGCUUGUCUCAAAGAUUAAGCCAUGCAUGUCUAAGUACAUGCCGAAAUAAGGCGAAACCGCGAAUGGCUCAUUAAAUCAGUUAUGGUUCCUUAGAUCGUUUCUUCCUACUUGGAUAACUGUGGCAAUUCUAGAGCUAAUACAUGCAGUGAGCCUGAAGCCCUUUGGGCGACGGGUGCUUUUAUUAGACCAAGAUCGAUCGGGUUUCGGCCCGUAUUGUGUGGUGACUCUGGAUAACUUUGUGCUGAUCGCAUGGCCACGAGCCGGCGACGUUUCUUUCAAGUGUCUGCCUUAUCAACUUUCGAUGGUAGGUUACUUGCUUACCAUGGUUGUUACGGGUAACGGAGAAUCAGGGUUCGAUUCCGGAGAGGGAGCCUGAGAAACGGCUACCACAUCCAAGGAAGGCAGCAGGCGCGCAAAUUACCCACUCCCGGCACGGGGAGGUAGUGACGAAAAAUAACAAUACGGGACUCUUUUGAGGCCCCGUAAUUGAAAUGAGUACACUCUAAAUCCUUUAACGAGGAUCAAUUGGAGGGCAAGUCUGGUGCCAGCAGCCGCGGUAAUUCCAGCUCCAAUAGCGUAUACUAAAGCUGCUGCGGUUAAAAAGCUCGUAGUUGGAUCUCAGUUCCAGACGAGUAGUGCAUCUACCCGAUGCGACGGCUCGGACUGAACAUCAUGCCGGUCCUUUCUUGGUGCACUUCAUUGUGUGCCUCGAGAAGGCCGGUGCUUUUACUUUGAAAAAAUUAGAGUGCUCAACGCAGGCGAGUCGCCUGAAUAAACUUGCAUGGAAUAAUAGAACAAGACCUCGUUUCUGUUCUGUUGGUUUUUGGAAUACGAGGUAAUGAUUAAGAGGGACAGACGGGGGCAUUCGUAUUGCGGCGCUAGAGGUGAAAUUCUUGGACCGUCGCAAGACGAACUACUGCGAAAGCAUUUGCCAAGAAUGUUUUCUUUGAUCAAGAACGAAAGUCAGAGGUUCGAAGGCGAUCAGAUACCGCCCUAGUUCUGACCAUAAACGAUGCCAACCAGCGAUCCGCCUGAGUUACUCAAAUGACUCGGCGGGCAGCUUCCGGGAAACCAAAGUGUUUGGGUUCCGGGGAAGUAUGGUUGCAAAGCUGAAACUUAAAGGAAUUGACGGAAGGGCACCACCAGGAGUGGAGCUGCGGCUUAAUUUGACUCAACACGGGAAAACUUACCCGGCCCGGACACUGGGAGGAUUGACAGAUUGAGAGCUCUUUCUUGAUUCGGUGGAUGGUGGUGCAUGGCCGUUCUUAGUUGGUGGAGCGAUUUGUCUGGUUAAUUCCGAUAACGAACGAGACUCUAGCCUAUUAAAUAGGUGCGGGGUUCCCAGCACCUUACAACCUUCUUAGAGGGACAAGCGGCUCCUAGCCGCACGAAACAGAGCAAUAACAGGUCUGUGAUGCCCUUAGAUGUCCGGGGCCGCACGCGCGCUACACUGAAGGAAGCAGCGUGUCUUUAUCCCUGUCUGAAAAGACUGGGUAACCCGUGGAACUUCUUUCGUGAUUGGGAUAGGGGCUUGCAAUUGUUCCCCUUGAACGAGGAAUUCCCAGUAAGCGCGAGUCAUAAGCUCGCGUUGAUUACGUCCCUGCCCUUUGUACACACCGCCCGUCGCUACUACCGAUUGAAUGAUUUAGUGAGGUCUUCGGACCGAUGUCCGGCGCGGCCUUUCGGUUGCGCCGGUCUGUUGGAAAGAUGACCAAACUUGAUCAUUUAGAGGAAGUAAAAGUCGUAACAAGGUUUCCGUAGGUGAACCUGCGGA